GUCUCGUCGUUGCCUCGAUUAGGGGGCGGGUACGUCCUCCUCUCACUUCGAUCGGCCGGUCGAGCGAGUCUCAGUCGGCCGUGGCGGUGCGUUGAUGCCUGCUUGUGUGGCCGAAAGAGACUCAUUGGGCCUGCUCC
Caenorhabditis elegans is the source of this 137-nucleotide microRNA precursor. Lineage: Eukaryota; Metazoa; Nematoda; Chromadorea; Rhabditida; Rhabditidae. The record is from Ensembl.